UGGAAUCCAGUUUCUACAUCCGUCGCCGCCGCCCAUGGUCGGGCUCUCUCUCCGCCGCACGCGCUGCUCCCCGCAGCCGGCCAGGUGCUCUCCAGCCGGUGAGACCGCCGCAGCCUCUCUCCCCCCACCGGCCUGUCCACCGCCGACCCCACUCCACACAGCCGCCGGUGGAACCCUACUCCAUACUGCCGCCGCCUCCACUGGCAGGAGCUUUCUCCGCUGCCCCCUCCGUCUGCAGGUAUUCUCCCCUCCUAUCUGUUUGCCCUUCCCUUCACCGCCGCUCACCGCACUGCCCUACACGCACAGAUGGUCUUGCCGUUGCCGUCCAAACCCUACCGGCGGUUGCCCUUUUUGUCCGUGCCCAAGCUUAUCUAUCUCCUGGAGGUGCCGCCGGCAAGAAGGUAAUGCUCCAAGAUGCCUCUUCCAAGAUGACGGUGGGUCUUUAGCACCUCUGGUGUUUUUUCGGAGUGAGACAACGAUUUCUCUUCUGAAGAAUUGUUUUUUCCUUUCACAUGUGCAUGCUUAUGUUAUUUGCGGAUGUUGAAAGCUAAUUUAUGCAUGAGCACACCUUCUGCAUAGUUGUUAUGCAUGAGCACACCUUCUGCAUAGUUGUUAUGCAUGAGCACACCUUCUGCAUAGUGGUCAAUUUGGUUGACCUUGAUUGUCAAAAGAAAUUUGCUUAGUGGAUUGUCAUAAGUAACUUGUGUAGUGCUGAAACUUGGAACAUAGAACUUAGCUAUAAAUCUUAACUAUGAUGGUACUUUGGGGAAAAUUGCACAUUGUUACUGAUUUUAGUGACUUAUUUAUUGCUCUGAACCUUGGUUUGUCACCAUAGUUUAGACUCUUGAGUGUUGUUCUGGCUUUGAAAAGUGGGAUCCUAGAGAGGCUAGUCUGUGCAAUAUAUGAAAAUGCUAAUGAUGUCCUGUGAGAAGUUGAGAUCAUGUACAAGAACAAUAAUUAUGUGUGUAGCAAUGAUACAUUCGGAGGCAAAGCAAGACUUGAGAUUCUGGUUCAGUUUCACCUCUUGCCUCUGCACAUAAAUUAAGAUACAAAUUGAGCACAGCACCUUUAGUUCCUAGUUGUCAUCAUAAAAGUACUGAACCUGACAUCUACAAAAAUAUAUUCCUUGCAUAAUCUCUUGCUUUUUCUUGAUGAGCACUAACCAGGAAUACCACUGACCAGCGGGAUUCGAACGAUGUGUGGAUUUCCAAAAAGGUUUUCUUAUAGUGAUAUAUACCGUUUGAUAUUGAUUUCAUGAAUUCCUGCUAACUUUGUUGUUUUCUAUGAAGUUCAGUUCCCGCAACACCUAUUUCGUUUCCUGUGAUCCACAUGUGAGGCAUAGAAAGGGUUCAAUUUUAUAUAGUUUAUGAGAUGAAAGGGGAAGGGACUGUUAGUUAAGAACAAUUGUAUAUUAAAUGACAGUUAAACAUUUGGAUUUAAGCAAUAGAUCAACAGAGCAUUUUUCUGCAGUUUAAUAACGCUAUAAGAUAAAGAUUCUUCUAAAUGGUUGAAAUUAAUUUUUACUUGAAUGAUGUGCUAAAAUCAACCUCUAUACACCCAGGCACCAUUUUUGUACAGAAUAUAUAUGAUGCUUGCUCCGUGAAUGACUAUCUUGUUGCACGCAUGUCUCCGAAUAAAAUGCAAGGGGUUAGAAACACAUGCAGCACUUCGUAAAUGGUUCCUUAUUCCUGAUCUUUUUAUUGCGCACAGAUCUUACAACUUUUUGGUGCACCACUAUUAGAGGUCUGACCUACAGAAGUCUCCACGGUAAAUAAAGUCUGCCGCCUACCUCGCAGCCUGCUCCUUUCAUAGGAAUCAUUGUGUUGUCUUCAUACUUCACAGGUUUUGUGCUAGCCGUGAAAUGUUUUUGGCCACAUAACUUAUUCAACUAGGUACCUCCGCUGCUCUGCGACCACGAGAAGCUCCAUGCCUUGGUGAGGUCGGUCCCUAUUUUUAGGACUAGGUGGUGUGCUAUGAUUCCCGCUUCCUACUGAUUUGUCCACUUUUUCUCUGUCCUACUCCUCUCUUUUGAUUUAAUCCCCUGAAUCUCUAAUCUUUGUUUGUGCAGAUUCUCUCUUACCUAUGCCUACAAGGUGUUUGAUGAAAAUCCAAGCAAGCUGCAAAGAAUAUUCAUCUAUGUAAUAUCUAAGUUCUGUUGUCUCUGCUUAAUAACUUUUGUCUGAAAUUUAGUUGCAUUCAAUGAUUACUUCCUCUCAUGCCAAUGCGGCAAUAUCUCUCAUCUGAAUUCUCAUUUGUCUUUGCCAGUUACAUAGUGCCUUACGUGCUACCUAGAUAUUGGAGUAGCAUAUUAUCUGCGAAAAUGCUUUUCUUUUUUACAGUCAUUUGUAUGCCACAUCUGGUAGCGUUGGUCCUUUCUAAAGGCCAAUAUGAAAGGGCAACUUAUAUAUGUCAAAUCGCAUGGGUACUUUACUUGGUACUUUCAGGUUUUGAUAUUACUCUAUCACUAGAAUUUCCUUUCGAACAUUGCAAUUAGCUUUUAUCAUAGCAUUGUAAGUAUUGAGAAAUUUGUUCAUCAUACCUCCUAGGUAAACUGGAAGUAUUGUACUAGUCAGCAGGAACCGUGUUCCAAUUGCAUCCUGGGGAUUUUCAUCCUUGUUCUAGCUUCAUUUAAUAAUGUUUGAUGUUGCAGAUAUAGAAUAAUGUUUACGCUUACCUCACCAUAUACCAAUUUGGUUGUUUACUAAUGUUGCAUCUGUAACAUGUCCUAUUUUUCCAUAGUUUGUUUGUUAUGGGAAAUUGGUGAUGAUCUGGUAAGGAAAGAAAUCUUCAAGUCUCGGGUUUUUCUACAACCAUUCCCCCAUGGUGGUAACCUCUCCCAGCGAAUCAUAAUGUAAACUGACUCGGAUCAGGUGUAAAUUUAUUCUUUUUUCUGCUGUAAAAAAAAACUUUCCACUGAAGUACACUAAAGUGCAGCAUCCAAUAAACAGACUUAAUGAUAUUCUAUUUGAAUAAUUAAUAUAUCAUGUUCUUGGACUUCUGUCAUGAGUGCCUUAUAGAUGUGCACCAUGCCAUAAGUACAAGCAGCAUGCGUACGUGCAUGGAGUCAUUUAACGCGAGGAAUAGGAGAGAAAAAAGCAGGUCCGCAAUGAAAAGCGGCAUGGCAAGGCACGCGUGUACUUCUAGUGGUUACCUAUACUUGAAUGGAGUGCCUUCUUGUGUAGGUGUUUCGGUACUAGCUUACCUUGCGAAGUAAUAAUUUUCGUCAAUGCUAUGCCUUAUACAAGUUUUAUGCUGCCAUUGUCUUAUUUUGCAGGAAAGGCAUGCAAGAGGGCAAGGAACCCUGAAGCUGGUGGUCCGGGAUCCUUUGUUUAAUGGUGACUGAAUCGUUGGAGAUGCAUUUUACCAUCAUUUUGUAAACCCGCAUUGUGUUUGAGACAAUGAACCAUAUGUUUUCUCUUUAAUUAGUUACAUUAGUUUAUGGGAAAAUUUGGAUGGUCGUUAUGUUAAUAAUGAAUGAACUAUUUAUAUGUGAAAUUAAUUAAUAUUUGUUUUUAUUGUCUGGUUAUGGUUCAUUAUUGUUGGAGGAGUUGCAUGUUAUUGUUAUGAAAUAACUUGAUUGAUAUUCUGUUGGUAAUGCAAAUGUAUGC
Molecule: long non-coding RNA, 3608 nt
Filed under: Triticum aestivum (bread wheat)
Lineage: Eukaryota; Viridiplantae; Streptophyta; Magnoliopsida; Poales; Poaceae
Description: long non-coding RNA (TAES_LNC027413)
Source: RNAcentral